AACGCAAAUUGCACUUCUUGGUAUCCCGAGGAGUAUGCUUGCUUGAGGGUCGGUCUAUAAAAAAUCGUAAUUUUUUUUUUUUACGGAUCUGGGUUUUCCGAGUUUUCUCGACUUCGGUUGCCUAAAAUUUAUCUUGACAAUGAGGUAUCAAUUAGAAAUGUUCUAUCUUACAUGUUGUGAGUUUCAUUGAUAAUUAUACCAAUUGUUACGUCGCGUUAUUCAUCUAGUACCUUUGGUUAGGUGAAAUAAUUCAAUUUUUUUAAUCCUACCUCAAGUCAAGUAAGGAUACCCGCUGAACUUAA
RNAcentral lists this unclassified non-coding RNA (302 nucleotides) under uncultured fungus. RNAcentral's name for it is "sequence contains ITS2". The record is from RNAcentral. Lineage: Eukaryota; Fungi.